UGAUCUGCUAUUUAUAGCCCCACUAAGAGGCUCUGGCCGCCAGCUCCAUGGGAGGCUGGGUGGAAAUGAUGCCUUCGCAGAGCUGAAAGCACGAAAUGAAAUUGGUGAUUCAUGAGCAGCCGCCACUUGAAAUGCAAACACUCCUGUGUCCCCAGCCCCACCGGCCUCUGGCGCCCAUCUGGAGGCGCGUUGAGCAAAGUUCCCAGGCUGCUGCGUCGUCCUUGCUGCAGUCCGCUUGUAUUUGGGCAGAAGAUGAGGACAGGCAGGUUCUGCCCAACAAGGGGCCUGCGACAAGCAGCAGCUCUCUCAGCAGCGUCUGACAGCCUCAGCCACAGCUCCCCCAAACCCAGGCUAGAACCUGGGCCAGACUAAGGGCAAGCGGGCAGGCGGGGGGGAGGGGAUGCAGAGAGAAAGGACAGUUCCCGUUCCCGCCCUCCGUCUCCAUGGGCAACACUGGCCGCAGAGCCGCUUCCUGGUGACACUUGCUCUUGCUGAACAUGCAAACGUGUGCAGAGAGGAAACCCAUGCCACUCUCCAAUUGUGUGUUUCUCAGUGUGACAGCCUAGCACCUGUCACCUGAAAUAGCUGUUGUUUAUUUCCGUGGUGAGAUCCUGGCUCCCAGGCCAAAGUCUUUUUGGAGGCCUCACUCAGCUCACCCUCAGUGGGACUGCACCAGAGCACUCCCUCUCCUGCAGCCAAGACUGCACUUAAGGACAACACACUGACGGAGCUCACAAACCAGUGAGAUGCUGUGAUGGGUCCUGAUACAACUGCCUCUGCCCCACUACGGCUUCUGAACUGGGGAGGCGGGGGAGUCGGCAGCUCCUCCAUGAAGAGGCCCAGUCUGGAGCGUGGUCUGCGUGACGUUCACCCAGUACCAGGAAUUGAAUUCACGACCUUGCACUUGCCAGACAGGCACUGUGCCGCUGAGCUAAGUCCCCAGCCCCAGGUGGGUAUUUUGAUCUCAGACUUCUAGACCCCAGAACCCAGGGAAAUAAGUUCCUGUGGGUGAUAAGCCACCCACUCUUGGACAGCCUUGGAGACAGCAAGUUUGAGAUGUCGGAGCCUGCGAUAGAUCCUGGGUCCCCGAAUCAUAAUCAUCAAUGGGCGGACAGACCCCUCUGCGCUGGAACGAUCAUUUAGGCUUCUUGCAAUCAAGAAAUGAACUAGAUUGAGCUGCUACACA
Long non-coding RNA from Chinchilla lanigera (long-tailed chinchilla), 1186 nucleotides. RefSeq lists it as uncharacterized. The record is from RefSeq and is a predicted model, not a curated record. The transcript is spliced from 3 exons. Lineage: Eukaryota; Metazoa; Chordata; Mammalia; Rodentia; Chinchillidae.